Molecule: ribosomal RNA, 114 nt
Organism: Neogale vison (American mink)
Lineage: Eukaryota; Metazoa; Chordata; Mammalia; Carnivora; Mustelidae
Source: Ensembl
GUCUACAGCCAUACCACCCUGAAUGCGUCCGAUCUCGUCUGAUCUUGGAAGCUAAGCAGGGUCGGGCCUGGUUAGUACUUGGAUGGGAGUUUAAUUUUCCUGGAGAUAUAUAGC